This is a long non-coding RNA of Hydra vulgaris (swiftwater hydra), 668 nucleotides long. RefSeq lists it as uncharacterized. The record is from RefSeq and is a predicted model, not a curated record. NCBI's taxonomy places the organism in Eukaryota, Metazoa, Cnidaria, Hydrozoa, Anthoathecata, Hydridae.
UAAAAAAUCAAAAAAAAAAAGUUAGCAUAAAAAUCCUAUUAACCUUUUAAUUUUUAAGCUAGAUAAUUGCUUCAUUAGAUAACGUUAUAAAAAAUUCUCUUCGCUUUUUCAUUUUCUCACAUUUUCAUUUAGAACGUGGCGCUGUUGUUUGAAUUUUUUUUUUUUUUUUUUAAAUUCGAAAAUUUGUGACAUUUCCAGCUAUUGUUAUCAUAUUGUUCAGUUUAAAAAAAAUAAACUUCUAAUAAUAAAAGAGGAAGGUAACAAACAUUGAAAGAUUUAUUUGGUUUGAUUGGUGUUUUUGUUUUAAGGGCACAAUGUGUUAAACAUCAGAAGUUAUUUUGAUUUGUUUUUAAUUUAAACUUUCUUUUCCAUUAUUUCGUUGAGUUUUUUAAGUAAUUUUAAAAAUCUAAUACAUUUUAUUUAUCAUUGCAAGGUUUUAACUCGUAGCAUGAAAGCUGAAAAAUAAAUUUUUGCUUCAACGAAUGCUAAUCUUUAGCAAGUAAACGUUAAAGCGCUGUCAUUGCACUGUGUUAACUCUGUUGCGGAAAAAUCGACUUUUUCUAACUUUGGAUGUGUUUCAAAACUAGGAUAUUUUUAUAGCCACUAAUAUGUUAAAAACAUUACUAAGCUAAUGGGAAUACAAUUAUUUAUUUUUUAUUUUUUAUUUA